UACGGGGGGAGCAAGCGUUGUUCGGAAUUACUGGGCGUAAAGGGCUCGUAGGCGGCCAACUAAGUCAGACGUGAAAUCCCUCAGCUUAACUGGGGAACUGCGUCUGAUACUGGAUGGCUUGAGAUUGGGAGAGGGAUGCGGAAUUCCAGGUGUAGCGGUGAAAUGCGUAGAUAUCUGGAGGAACACCGGUGGCGAAGGCGGCAUCCUGGACCAACACUGACACUGAGGAGCGAAAGCCAGGGGAGCAAACGGG
This 253-nucleotide ribosomal RNA is filed under the name uncultured bacterium. Its description in RNAcentral is "partial 16S ribosomal RNA". It matches the Rfam family "Bacterial small subunit ribosomal RNA", at positions 524 to 776 of the family's 1533-position model. The record is from RNAcentral.